GGAAACCCUCUAACACUUAGCACUCAUCGUUUACGGCGUGGACUACCAGGGUAUCUAAUCCUGUUCGCUCCCCACGCUUUCGCGCCUCAGCGUCAGUUACAGACCAGAGAGCCGCCUUCGCCACUGGUGUUCCUCCACAUCUCUACGCAUUUCACCGCUACACGUGGAAUUCCGCUCUCCUCUUCUGCACUCAAGUUCCCCAGUUUCCAAUGACCCUCCCCGGUUGAGCCGGGGGCUUUCACAUCAGACUUAAGGAACCGCCUGCGCGCGCUUUACGCCCAAUAAUUCCGGACAACGCUUGCCACCUACGUAUUACCGCGGCUGCUGGCACGUAGUUAGCCGUGGCUUUCUGGUCAGGUACCGUCAAGGUACCGGNCAGUUACUCCGAUACUUGUUCUUCCCUGACAACAGAACUUUACGACCCGAAAGCCUUCAUCGUUCACGCGGCGUUGCUCCGUCAGACUUUCGUCCAUUGCGGAAGAUUCCCUACUGCUGCCUCCCGUAGGAGUCUGGGCCGUGUCUCAGUCCCAGUGUGGCCGAUCACCCUCUCAGGUCGGCUACGCAUCGUUGCCUUGGUGAGCCGUUACCUCACCAACUAGCUAAUGCGCCGCGGGCCCAUCUGUAAGUGACAGCCGG
This 636-nucleotide ribosomal RNA is filed under the name Bacillus sp. P019. RNAcentral describes it as "16S ribosomal RNA". The record is from RNAcentral. Lineage: Bacteria; Bacillati; Bacillota; Bacilli; Caryophanales; Bacillaceae.